UUGCCAGCAGUUCGGCUGGGCACUCUAUGGAAACUGCCCGUGAUAAGCGGGAGGAAGGUGUGGAUGACGUCAAGUCCUCUAGGCCCUUACGGGUUGGGCUACACACGUGCUACAAUGGUAGUGACAAUGGGUUAAUCCCCAAAAACUAUCUCAGUUCGGAUUGUCGUCUGCAACUCGACGGCAUGAAGUCGGAAUCGCUAGUAAUCGCGUAACAGCAUGACGCGGUGAAUACGUUCCCGGGCCUU
Molecule: ribosomal RNA, 245 nt
Filed under: unidentified marine eubacterium
Lineage: Bacteria
Description: partial 16S ribosomal RNA
Rfam family: Bacterial small subunit ribosomal RNA
Source: RNAcentral